GACGAACGCUGGCGGCGUGCCUAAUACAUGCAAGUCGAACGCAGUGGGGACGGGUGAGUAACACGUGGGUAACCUCCCAUCAGAGGGGAUAACACUUGGAAACAGGUGCUAAACCGAUACUGAUGGAUGGACCCGCGGUGCAUUAGCCAGUCGGGGGGGUAACGGCUCACCAAGGCUACGAUGCGUAGCCGGGUUGAGAGGGUGACCGGCCACACUGGGACUGAGACACGGCCCAGACUCCUACGGGAGGCAGCAGUGGGGAAUCUUCGGCAAUGGACGAAAGUCUGACCGAGCAACGCCGCGUGAGUGAAGAAGGUUUUCGGAUCGUAAAACUCUGUUGUUAGAGAAGCGGUAUCUAACCAGAAAGCAACGGCUAACUACGUGCCAGCCGCCGCGGUAAUUC
RNAcentral lists this ribosomal RNA (403 nucleotides) under uncultured bacterium. RNAcentral's name for it is "partial 16S ribosomal RNA". It matches the Rfam family "Bacterial small subunit ribosomal RNA", at positions 28 to 526 of the family's 1533-position model. The record is from RNAcentral.